GAACAAAGGAGAAAGGUUUACGUCUAUGAGAAGCAUCCCUGCUUAUGAGAAUGCUAUGAAGGAGUCUUUCGAACGCCGUUUGGAUUUGUACUUGUGCCGUCGAGUUCGAAGAAAACAUCUUAAUACUGAUCCUGAAUCUUUAAAGCCAAAGCUUCCAAAGAAAAAGGAACUUAAGCCUUACACCAUAACAUGCUAUGUCGAAUAUAAAGACCAUGAAGGUGGGCAGUGGAUGGCUUCAGGUUCAAGUGAUGGAACUGUCCGUGUCUGGGAGGUUGAAACAGGUAGAUGUCUGAGACAGUGGGUGUAGGAGAUUGGUGAAGCUGUGAACUGUGUUACUUGGAAUCCUCUGCCUGAUAUUCAUAUUCUGGCCGUCUUUGUGCAAGAAAGCACCUAGUGUAAGCUAGCUGGCUUAAAGAUGAUAAACAUGACGCUAUAAGGUUAAGGCAUUUAAAGACUGUUACUAGCGUGGAAUGGCACCGAAAAGGUGACUACUUUUCAACAGUGAUGUCAACAGAUAUCCUUUCUAAGUGUUGUGUCAGUUUUAGCUGAUAGCCUGAUACAUACAUUCUUUCUUGUUUAUUCGUUAUCUAAUAAUAAUAGUUACAUAUUUCCAACAAAUGAACAAUAACGCACAUAAAAGUCUCACAUACCUAUCAUUGCACAAGUAGUCAUGUAUGUUGCCGCAUCAUACCUUAGUAGUAGUCUUUAUGUCUUUCAACAAAGCUUGAAUUAUCUCCGGAUUUUGACACACUUAAUGACCAUGAAUAGAACCAUUUAGACGUGAGCUGUUACUCAUCAUGUAAUUCCACUCACUACAUGUAAGAUCUGCUUCCGUUAA
Trifolium pratense (red clover) is the source of this 838-nucleotide long non-coding RNA. RefSeq lists it as uncharacterized. Lineage: Eukaryota; Viridiplantae; Streptophyta; Magnoliopsida; Fabales; Fabaceae. The transcript has 6 exons. The record is from RefSeq and is a predicted model, not a curated record.